AUUAUCUGGAGGGAAAAGGGUGGGGAUGACCGUCCAGAUAUCAAUCCAUGGCCCCCUUAAGACCCUGGGGCUUACCACCACGUUGGCUAACAAAUGGGCGGUAUUACAACCGAGUUGGCCAACCUGCCGAAAGGGUGGAGGCUAAUCUCCUUAAAAGUACGUCUCCAGUUCGGGACCGCCAGUUCUGCAAACUCGACUGGCACGAAGUCGGAAUCGCUAGUAAUCGCGGGAUUCAGCACGCCGCGUGAAUACGUCCGUCUGUACACACGCCGUCACGGCAUGGAGUUGUAUGCCCAAAACGGUGCCUGAACUUACGGGAGGGAGCCUCUAAGCAAGACAGAGACUGGUGCAUAUGACCUAAUGCAG
RNAcentral lists this ribosomal RNA (366 nucleotides) under Leuconostoc sp. KIBGE HA-2. Its description in RNAcentral is "partial 16S ribosomal RNA". Lineage: Bacteria; Bacillati; Bacillota; Bacilli; Lactobacillales; Lactobacillaceae. The record is from RNAcentral.